This 497-nucleotide ribosomal RNA is filed under the name uncultured bacterium. Its description in RNAcentral is "partial 16S ribosomal RNA". It matches the Rfam family "Bacterial small subunit ribosomal RNA", at positions 28 to 507 of the family's 1533-position model. The record is from RNAcentral.
GAUGAACGCUGGCGGCGUGCCUAAUACAUGCCAGUCGAGCGAACGGACGAGAAGCUUGCUUUUCUGAUGUUAGCGGCGGACGGGUGAGUAACACGUGGAUAACCUACCUAUAAGACUGGGAUAACUUCGGGAAACCGGAGCUAAUACCGGAUAAUAUUUUGAACCGCAUGGUUCAAAAGUGAAAGACGGUCUUGCUGUCACUUAUAGAUGGAUCCGCGCUGCAUUAGCUAGUUGGUAAGGUAACGGCUUACCAAGGCAACGAUGCAUAGCCGACCUGAGAGGGUGAUCAGCCACACUGGAACUGAGACACGGUCCAGACUCCUACGGGAGGCAGCAGUAGGGAAUCUUCCGCAAUGGGCGAAAGCCUGACGGAGCAACGCCGCGUGAGUGAUGAAGGUCUUCGGAUCGUAAAACUCUGUUAUUAGGGAAGAACAGAUGUGUAAGUAACUGUGCACAUCUUGACGGUACCUAAUCAGAAAGCCACGGCUAACUACGUG